This 1807-nucleotide long non-coding RNA is filed under the name Bemisia tabaci. RNAcentral describes it as "lncRNA ENSSSA1NGG001938". Lineage: Eukaryota; Metazoa; Arthropoda; Insecta; Hemiptera; Aleyrodidae. The record is from RNAcentral.
GUCUGGUAGAAAAAUCGGACUCGGAGCUUUUGACUGGAAAGACUGUACUAUAUACCAAAGAUUAAGCUGUAAGCUGUUUCGUUUAUUGUUGUAUCUAUAGCUAUAGAAGAUCCUUCGACAGUUGCUUUUAAAUUCAACAGUUUUGAGCCAAGUACUCGCUAGAUUAAAAAUUGAAAUACAUUAGGAAAAAAAAGUCUCUUGGAUCAACUGACAAGAAAAAAUACUCUGCAUCUAAUAGGAUUUUUGCUUGAAUCGAAAGCGAUCCUCUUAACUUAAGCGGAUAUCCUUUUUAUUCCCGAAAAAUUCCAAUCAAUCAUGAGUAUUUUUUCUUGUCCAAUUUGUGAAGAUUCUGGACAUUGGAUCCAUGAGACUUUUUUUCCAGUUUAGCUCGUGGCUCAAGCAUCAUAACUUACAAUUAUUUCGAUAUUUUUUAGCAUUUUUCGUAUCGUACUUAGAUAAAACCACAGAGUACCUAGAGUCGUUAUUUAAGCUGGCGCCACUUUUGAGCAUUUUCCAGGUCCCAAAUUCCGAGACUCCUGUGUGACGCCGGGUCACUUUUUCGAUACACGAUCCGAUUGUUUUCGAUACACUGGCACCCAGCCAUCCCAUUUAAACCAAGAAGAUAGGAAUUACCACGUAUUCCGCCCCGCCAUUUUGGAUCGAACAUAUAUCGAAACAGUGGCCGAAGCUCGGCGCACACCGGGCUCGGAACUCGUCGAGGAGAACAUAUCGCCAGCUCUCCCAUUUUCAUUCCGACUCUAUGUACUAUAUGGGUACAACUUCACUUUUAACAGUAGCGCUAAAGCUCGAUUCCAAGUUUUCUUGUAGCAUGUAGCACCGACGCCUCUUUUUUCGUCGACGCUCAGAUUUUGUGAGCCGUCGUUAAGUUGGGGCGUCGUUGGGGGCCUUUUCGAGGGGGUCGCGUCGCGGGGGUGGCGACGGCGGCGCGCGUCGCCCAGUGUGCGGCACCACCCUCGCUUGCAGCUGCCCGUCACGCGUUCAUCCCUCGCCCUGCGGCCACCCCCGCAGCGCAGCGUGGCGGGAGGGGCAACCUGCGUCAACGUGCGCCCCGACGCCGCGACGCGGACGUCGACGUCGCGUCGGGGCGCUCAGUCGUUUCGCGCCGUCCGCUCCGCCCGGCCGCUCGCCCCCCGCCCCUCCCGCCCGCAAUCUUGCCGCCCUCUCAGCCUACACGUGCCUUCCCCCCUACUUUCCUCCGAAUUAGGCGCCGAUGGAUUUUCAGUCGAUUGAACUUCCUCUAGGUGUAUCCACCUAAAUUUUUCGGCCAAUCCAUUCCAUAGCAAUAGAUGCGCUCUCCAAGAAUCAGUCGAGUGUCGGCGAUCGUUUAAGUUCAUAUUGGAUUACGGGACGUGUGUGCUCCGGUUUCAGGAAAUCACGAAUUAUCAACAAUUUUAAUCGUUGCUCGUACGUCUAUUUCAUGAUGUAUUAUUUUUAAUCUUAAUGACUCUGAUUCGGAAAAUGUCAAAUUAAUCUAGACCAUUCGUUCAAUCAAUUACGUUUUGUCGAGUUCUCGAGGCAAGGAGCUGCCCAUUUGAAGGUAAAACUGACAAAAAAGAAUAAGAAAAUAGGCUUGAAGAAUCCCAAAUUUUCUGUCUAAGAAUCAAUUUAAAAAUAAAGGUCGGAGUUGCCCACUACUGCGCGACACUAACUUAAGCAUGAGAGAUUUUCCCUUUUUUAAGUGUAUUUAUUUGCCGAAGGGAGUACACUAUUCCUAACUUGAACCGAUCAGUUCGUAACUAUGAGUGAAUAAUUAUUUUUUCCAAGUAUUUUGUCGACCUACAAUAGA